This is a long non-coding RNA of Hemibagrus wyckioides, 1584 nucleotides long. RefSeq lists it as uncharacterized. The record is from RefSeq and is a predicted model, not a curated record. The transcript has 2 exons. Lineage: Eukaryota; Metazoa; Chordata; Actinopteri; Siluriformes; Bagridae.
GACAGCUCGCGCUGCUACAAACACCUAGGCGUUUUAUUUCGGCGUGCACACGCGCAGGUGAAUCUGCUGGAAAGUAUGCGGAAACGCGGCGCGUGCAGAGAGCCAGCUACAGACCAGCACUGACAGAAACCCGGAAAAAAAUAAAGAAAGGACAUGAAUGGAGGUGGAUCGAUUUGUAUUUUACUGUAAAACCGAACUUGCUUUUUGCAAAUUCAAAACAAAACAAUACUUCAGCAUAUUUACAACAGCAGUGUUGAUGGAAGUACCCAAGAAAUGCUUGUUCCUCUGCUCUUUAUUGUAGGUUGUGAUAAUAAACAAAUGUGCACCAAAGAAAAGCCGGGAGAACAUUGGGAGAGAUGGCACGGUUUGACGACACGGCGUUAUUGUUUAUUGAAAAUGAUCCCACCACCUCCAAAAGCCAUCCUGACUUCCAGUUCAGGAUCUCAGCAAUGGAGUUAAAGUCUUUUAUUAUCAGCCGUGUGAGCAAGAGGAGCCUUAAUUGAAGGAGGGAACCUGAGCAUGCCAUAGAGAAGAAGGAACCAAGGAAGGCACUACAUGUGAGGGGAUGUGAAAGGAUUGAGGUAAGAGGUAGAUAUAUAGUAGAUGGAAAUGAGGUUACUCCUCCUCCUUUUCCUCUCCGUGUGUGAUGACGUAGCAGAUGUUCUUGUAGUCAACAUUGCCAGCCACAUCUGGAGGGAAGGCGGCCCACAGGUUUUUCAUCUAAAGCAAAAAGAAUCAAAGUGGCUUAUUAUCAAAUUAUCAGUAAAUACGAACAUAAAUGCUAAUGCUUUUUACAGAAGACACACCUCCUCAGCACUGAACCUGUCGCACUGGGUGGUCAGAAGCUCCUCAAGGCUGGAGAGUAGAAGAAAAUUUGAGUUCAUAAGUGUUUAGUCCAAAUUUCUCUGUCAAAAAAGUUAAAAGAAUAUACAGAGCUAAAUAAGACAUGCAAUACAUACAACUCCUUCUUGAUGGAGCCAGUGCCCUCAGGGUCCAGGACUUUGAAAGCGCUAACAAUGACGUCCUCGGGAUCAGCACCUUAAAGAUUGCAAGGUUAUGGAUUUGUUAUAAUCAGAGGAGUUUGAGGCUGACAAGCUACAAACAAGGUAAACAAAUUUAUUCUUAGUGUCAAAUGAUGAAUGAUAAAUAUCAUAAUUAUUUCAUGUUCUACUCUAAGCACAGUUUCAAUUUAAGUAGCUAAUGUUAGCUAGGUUUUGGGAAGCUAGCUAGUGUUAGUAAGAGUUGUGUGUAGCAUGAAGCCUUAGAAAAAAUGGUUCUUCAAGGGAUCCUGUCUGAAAGGGGAAUAUGUAUUGCAUUGUAUGAUUCUACAUAUAACUUUUAAAGGUUCACCCAAAUGGACAAAUUAAAAUAUUAUAUUGUUACACAACUCUCUUGCAAAUGACAUAACAUAGCUAAUUAGCAACCUACCCUUCAGCUUUUCGCCAAACAUGGUGAGGAAGACGGUGAAGUUGAUUGGACCACUGGCCUCCUUGAUCAUGGCCUCCAGCUCCUCAUUCUUCACAUUCAACUGACCCAUGGAGGCCAGCACGUCCCUCAGAUCGUCUUUGCUGAUGAUGCCGUCCC